Molecule: long non-coding RNA, 2232 nt
Filed under: Sus scrofa (pig)
Lineage: Eukaryota; Metazoa; Chordata; Mammalia; Artiodactyla; Suidae
Description: lncRNA (ENSSSCG00025064092.1)
Source: RNAcentral
AUGGGGCUGCGGGCGAAAUUUUCCGAGCCUCCUCGCCUGCGGCGCCCCCUCCUCAGCUCCCUGAGCGCUCCCCUCCCCCGGGGCCCGCACACCCAGCCGAGGGAUGCAGGGUGCGCGGGGAUAUGCGAGGAUGCGCGGCGCUGCAGGCGCGGCCCAGGGCCCCUCGGGGGUCGCGUCACCGAGGAAGCGAAGCCGGGAGCUGGAUGGUCAAUGCCUUCCGCCCUGGGGGUAACAGUCCCCCUUCUCCAGCCCAGACCUCCCCAAAGCGCGCGCGGACCUCCCAAAGGAGCCGGGGGUGGGGUCCCCAAGCACCCCGCGCUCUCACCGCUUCUCCUCUGCUCUGCCUUCUUCUCCGGCUCAAGCUCCAGCCCGGUCGCCUCCUGGGCUCCCCCCGGAGUGGGAGGGAGCCUCGGUCCCGCCUCCGCGCCCUUUCUCUCCCAGGCCGCGCACCAGGGCGCUGGGCUUUCGGCGUGCGGACCUACUACCCUGCCGACCGACGGACGCGUGUGCCUGCUGCCGGACGCCGGAAUCCCGCGGCAGGGCUCUGGCUUUCAGCAGAUUCUUCUCCACGGAGGUUGUGACCCCAAAGAUUCAGAGUUGAUGCUGUAACACCCUUAUGUUACAGACAAGGAUCUGAGGAUUCCGGGAUGGAGAAGAAACUGGCUCAAAGUUACAUGGAAAUUUAGCAGCAAGUUGGAAAGAACCCAUGACUCCAGACUGUAUAAUGCUAUUUAAGGUCUGACUAAAUGUCACCUCCUGCAGGAAGCCUUCCCUGAACUUGUCCCAUCUUCCUCUGUGUUCCUUUGCACAUACCUUGAUGUGACACCCUAUAUCACAAUGAGCCACUUCAAUGGAAUUUGUCCCUGCUAGAAUGAGCCAUCCAUGAGAUCGGAGACUGUGUCUUACUCAUCUUUGUGUGGUGUGGCUGGUGUUUAUUACUUAAUCGCUAUCGUUUAUUGAGUGCCUAUUAUGUGCCAAGGCACUUUUGUAAUGCUCAUUCCAUUUCACAGUUGUCCCACAAGGUAGGUAAUAUUGUCCUCAUUUCACAUAUGGAAAAAAAUCUCCUGGAGCUCAGAGGUUUGCCCAAGUUCCCACAGAGAGUGAGUGGUAGUGCUGAGAUUUGAAUCCCAAACCCUUUUGCACCUCCCACUUCACCAGUGGUGUUUUUUCAGUCGUUAAUGAGUAGCAUCCCGCUGAGGAUCUGGAGCAGCAGGGCCCUAAUGGCCCCCUCUCCACUGGGCUCUGGAGCAUCUGGAAGUACAAAGCCCUGCUCCCAGGGCUUCCUGGGAGAAAAGGAUUCUAAGGAGGUGAAAGGAAUCUUUGAGGAGCUCACAAACCCCUGGGGAGAUGGCUCAGACACCAGUAGAGAAGCCAGUAGAACAAAAGCAAUCCAUCAUGAACUCUUUAAAAUUUACUGUAUGCCUGCAUGACAUGCCUAGCAGAGGAAUCCCAGGAUUUUCUCUUCUGUGUGUUUCUGUCUUGCUUCCUUGCGGCCAUAAUACCAGCUGAGGUCGUCAGUACAAUUACUUCCAACUGAUGAGAUUGGAGAAGACAAUUCUGCUACUUUUCUAGAUCUUUGAGUUACACAUCCAACCUGGGUCUGACUAUGCUUCUUUAACCUGUAUAUGAGGGAACUUCCAUAUGUGUGGGUGCAGCCCUAAAAAGCAAAAACAAAGAAACAUUGUUGGUGGGCAUGUGAAUUGGUGCAACCAUGUUGGGAAAUAGUCUGGCUUUAUCUCCUAAAGCUGAGCAGAUACAUAUCCUAUGACCCAGCAAUUUUCUUUUCUUUUUUUUUUUUUUUUUUUUUUUUUNUUUUUAGGGCCACACCUGUGGCAUAUGGAUGUCCCCAAGCUAGGGGUCUAAUUGGAGCUACAGCUCCCAGCCUACACCACAGCCAUAGCAACACGCUGGAUCCGAGCCGCAUCUGCGACCUACACCACAGCUCAUGACAAUGCCAGAUUCUUAACCCACUGAGCAAGGUCAGGGAUUGAACCCUCAACCUCGUGAUUCCUAGUCGGAUUCACUUCCAUUGUGCCACGAUGGGAACUCCUAACCUAGCAAUUCAAAUCCAAAGUACCCACUGUGGAAAAAUUCUUGCCCAUCUACACCAAGAACUACAUGGAAGACUAUUCACGGGGGUGCUGGCCACAGUAGCCCAAAUUGGGAAACACCCACGUCCCCAUCUAUGGGAGAGCAGAUGAAUAAAUUCCCAUGAUAAAAUAUUACUUGGCA